GUGCUUGCUUCAGCAGUACAUACACUAAAAUUGGAACCAUACAGAGAAGAUUGGAUGCAUUCAAAUUCUCGAGGUGUUCCAUAUUUUU
Molecule: small nuclear RNA, 88 nt
Organism: Dipodomys ordii (Ord's kangaroo rat)
Lineage: Eukaryota; Metazoa; Chordata; Mammalia; Rodentia; Heteromyidae
Source: Ensembl